This 517-nucleotide long non-coding RNA is filed under the name Salmo salar (Atlantic salmon). RNAcentral describes it as "lncRNA (ENSSSAG00000113333.1)". Lineage: Eukaryota; Metazoa; Chordata; Actinopteri; Salmoniformes; Salmonidae. The record is from RNAcentral.
UCAGCCUCCAGUAUUUAUGCUGCAGUAGUUUAUGUGUCGGGGGGCUAGGGUCAGUCUGUUACAUCUGGAGUAUUUCUCUUGUCUUAUCCGGUGUCCUGUGUGUAUUUAAAUAUGCUCUCUCUAAUUCUCUCUUUCUCUCUUUCUGUCUUUCUCUCGGAGGACCUGAGCCCUAGGACCAUGCCUCAGGACUACCUGGUAUGAUGACUCCUUGCUGUCCCCAGUCCACCUGGCCGUGCUGCUGCUCCAGUUUCAACUGUUCUGCCUGCGGCUAUGGAACCCUGACCUGUUCACGGACGGUGCAACAAGCACGUCCGGUGAACAGGUCAGGGUUCCAUAGCCGCAGGCAGAACAGUUGAAACUGGAGCAGCAGCACGGCCAGGUGGACUGGGGACAGCAAGGAGUCAUCAUACCAGGUAGUCCUGAGGCAUGGUCCUAGGGCUCAGGUCCUCCGAGAGAAAGACAGAAAGAGAGAAAGAGAGAAUUAGAGAGAGCAUAUUUAAAUACACACAGGACACCG